GGAAUUUUGCGCAAUGGGCGCAAGCCUGACGCAGCAACGCCGCGUGGAGGAAGAAGGCCCUCGGGUCGUAAACUCCUGUCCUUGGGGAAGAUGGUGACGGUACCCUUGGAGGAAGCCCCGGCUAACUCCGUGCCAGCAGCCGCGGUAAUACGGAGGGUGCAAGCGUUAAUCGGAAUUACUGGGCGUAAAGCGAGUGUAGGCGGCUACGUAAGUCGGUUGUGAAAUCCCCGGGCUUAACCUGGGAAUUGCGUUCGAUACUGCGUGGCUAGAGUCUGAUAGAGGGAAGUGGAAUUCCAGGUGUAGCGGUGAAAUGCGUAGAUAUCUGGAGGAACAUCAGUGGCGAAGGCGGCUUCCUGGAUCAAGACUGACGCUCAGGCUCGAAAGCGUGGGUAGCA
RNAcentral lists this ribosomal RNA (395 nucleotides) under uncultured bacterium. RNAcentral's name for it is "bacterial SSU rRNA". It matches the Rfam family "Bacterial small subunit ribosomal RNA", at positions 358 to 770 of the family's 1533-position model. The record is from RNAcentral.